RNAcentral lists this ribosomal RNA (420 nucleotides) under uncultured bacterium. Its description in RNAcentral is "bacterial SSU rRNA". It matches the Rfam family "Bacterial small subunit ribosomal RNA", at positions 358 to 770 of the family's 1533-position model. The record is from RNAcentral.
GGAAUAUUGGACAAUGGGGGCAACCCUGAUCCAGCCAUGCCGCGUGUGUGAAGAAGGCUUUCGGGUUGUAAAGCACUUUCAGUGAGGAGGAAAAGUUAAUCCUUAAUACGGGCUAGCCCUGACGUUACUCACAGAAGAAGCACCGGCUAACUCCGUUCCAGCAGCCGCGGUAAUACGGAGGGUGCAAGCGUUAAUCGGAAUUACUGGGCGUAAAGCGCGUGUAGGUGGUUUGAUAAGCGAGAUGUGAAAGCCCCGGGCUUAACCUGAGAACGGCAUUUCGAACUGUCAGGCUAGAGUGUGGUAGAGGGUAGUGGAAUUUCCUGUGUAGCGGUGAAAUGCGUAGAUAUAGGAAGGAACACCAGUGGCGAAGGCGACUACCUGGACCAACACUGACACUGAGGUGCGAAAGCGUGGGGAGCA